Molecule: ribosomal RNA, 773 nt
Filed under: uncultured Neocallimastigales
Lineage: Eukaryota; Fungi; Neocallimastigomycota; Neocallimastigomycetes; Neocallimastigales
Description: partial large subunit ribosomal RNA
Rfam family: Eukaryotic large subunit ribosomal RNA
Source: RNAcentral
AGAGAGAGACAUGCGCGCAUAUCAAUAAGCGGAGGAAAAGAAACUAACAAGGAUUCCCUUAGUAACGGCGAGUGAAGCGGGAAGAGCUCAAAUUUGAAAUCUUCAAGGUUUUACCUUGACGAAUUGUAGUUUAAAGAAGUGUUUUCUGCUGAAGUUUUGGUAAAAGUUCUUUGGAAUAGGACAUCAUAGAGGGUGAGAAUCCCGUAUUUGACCAUUAUUUUCAGCUUUGUGAUACACUUUCAAAGAGUCGGAUUGUUUGGGAAUGCAGUCCAAAAUGGGUGGUAAAUUUCAUCUAAAGCUAAAUAUUGGCGAGAGACCGAUAGCGAACAAGUACCGUGAGGGAAGAUGAAAAGAACUUUGAAAAGAGAGUUAAACAGUACGUGAAAUUGUCAAAAGGGAAGCGUUUGACACCAGUGUUGUUUUCUCGAAAAUCAAUUAAAAAUGGCUCGAUUUUGUAUUGCUUGAGACCUUAAAAGCUCACUGUACAUUUUUCGUGUCUUUUUAAUGCACUUUUCGUUUAACAAGUCAACAUCAGUUUCUUUUGUUGUAAAAGGGUCAUUGGAAGGUGGCUUUCUUUUCGGAGAAAGUGUUUAUAGCCUUUGGCCUCUGCAAUCGGAGAGACUGAGGUCUGCAGCGUAGACUCUUCGGGGUUAGAUACAUUUGUGCUAAGUUAUAGCUUUUUAUAGACAACUUGUUGACUAUAAUUAGUCUUGUAGCUUACUCGCUUAUGCUAUUUUACCUACGCUUAGGAUGUUGAAGAUGUAGCACAUCAU